Molecule: ribosomal RNA, 542 nt
Filed under: uncultured euryarchaeote
Lineage: Archaea; Methanobacteriati; Methanobacteriota
Description: bacterial SSU rRNA
Rfam family: Archaeal small subunit ribosomal RNA (bases 67-542)
Source: RNAcentral
CCCUCUGCUUUUCGAUGUUUUAUCUAUUGUUUCUUAUAUGUUUGAGCAGUUGCUAUUUAGUUUCUUAUUUUGGCAGAUUAGGUAAAAGGACUUUCAAUGCCAUGUUCUAAAUUUGGCUGUUUUUAUGCCUUAAAAGCAUGUGCAUAGCAAUGGCCGGGCAAGACCGUUGCCAGCCGCCGCGGUAACACCGGCGGCUGGAGUGGUAACCGUUAUUAUUGGGUUUAAAGGGUCUGUAGCCGGGCGGUUAAGUCUCUUGGGAAAUCUUGCAGCUUAACUGUCAGGCUUUCAGGGGAUACUGUCUGGCUCGGAGCCGGGAGAGGUGAGAGGUACUUCAGGGGUAGGGGUGAAAUCUUGUAAUCCUGGAGGACCACCAGUGGCGAAGGCGUCUCACCAGAACGGACCCGACGGCGAGGGACGAAAGCUAGGGGCACGAACCGGAUUAGAUACCCGGGUAGUCUGGCCGUACAUGGGUAGCGCUGGCUUAAAUGGGCUUGGACUAGGCAUGGGAUCGCUAGCACUGGCAGGGAGCGCAGGACUGGCAG